UCAGUUCGAGCUCCACGGCAUGGCGCUCCCAGGCCCCCAGACCACAGCCUCGACUCUGCUUGCCUUCCCCUCACUGACUCAGCCAUGGUAGGCUGUUCAAAUUGCAAUGCUUUUCCAACAGGCUCUGUCACAUGGCUUUUUCUCAGGCUCACGUCUCUGGCUGCAUUAACUCCCCACUCACCCUGCUGCCACCAGUCCACCUGGAGACCCUCAGUCAUCUUCAGGAUGCAGCUGGGUGCCUUUCCCGGCCACCCGCACGUCCCCACCCCUCCCACCUCUCCCGCUUCAGGCCCCCAUGAAUCCCUCUGUUGGUCUCUGUCACACUGCUUUUUCCCUUUGCCCUCCUCUGUUGACCUGCCAACUGCCUGCCCCUGGACUAUAAUUCCCUUGAGGACACAGUCUGUGCCUUAUUCCCCUCCCGCUCCCCAAUGCCUGGCACGCCCAGCAAGUGCUCUUCAAACAGCCUUGUGGAUUCCUGAAUCACUGGUGGCCCAGCAAAGGCUGCAAUCCAGGAGACCAUGUGGGAUGGCAGCCGUGUUUCCUUUCCAUCUACAGUAGGACUCAUUCUAUAUCUGUUGGAGAGAGUCCAGCCUGCCAUCAGCAAAUGGGAAAGCUCCUGUCCAGGUCUCUGCCCAUGGUGCUGGCACCGGCCCCACAGGCUGUUCCAUGCCAAAGCCUGGGGCCCAGACUCCAGGCGCUGCCUCUGAAUAAUGAAGCCCCCAGGGCCACUAGAAGUGUGGAGUAUGCAUGCCCCUCCACGGUAAAAUGGACUGUUGACCCCGUCUGGUCCUGGCCUGGCUGGAAAGGAGAGUUAGGGGGCCAGGCGGGAAUUCUGUGCAAGGGAAAUGGGAAGAACGAGUGGCCCUGGAGGAGACUGAUUCCCCCCGACCAGCUUGCCAGUCAGGAGGCACUCAGGUGCCUGCAACAGAGGGCUGACCCAGAGGACCUCUGGAGAGCUCUUCCUGCCAGAGGAUCCUCAGACGCCUAGGGGCUCGAGGCACUUCAGAGACAUGACCUGCGUGGGGACCAGGGACGGUGGUCGCCCCACGUUGGGAACUGAGCCUCUGGGAGAGGUUUCCUACGCCCCAGCCCAGAAAGAGUUUGUGGGGCUGAGGUUGACAGGCUUUCCUUGUCCCUUUCUGCCUUCGCUCUCGCCCCCUGCCUCCUCACCUGCUGCAGCGUGACGCCUGCCCCUCCUCUGGCCACGUGCAGAUGCCAAGCCUCCAGGCCUGGAGUUUGCUGAGAAGAGCCCCCUCAGAGGAAGGACAGGUCAGCACGUCCCACAGCGGGGCACUGAGCCUUCUGGGAGCCAGGGCCCCAGGAAACUUUGUGAGAACAGCCAGGACCCACACCUCUCCACCUGCUGCCCAAACUGCUGCCGGGAGCAAGUCCAAGGGCAGAGGGUGAGGGCAUCCUAGGAAAGGGUGUCUCUCUGUGGGAAGAAAGCACCGGAGACUCACUCAGCAAAUAUUUGCCAAGUGCCAGCUAGGCACCAGGCAUUGUCCCAGACACAGCAGUCCCCUAAACGGGCAAAGUCCCUGCCUCGUGGGGCUGACAUCCUGCAGCUCAUCACAGAAGGCCAGAACGGGCCCAGCCUGAGAGACAGCUCCUCAGCUCCCACCGAGGAGGAAGAAAAGAGUGAGCGGGGAGCCAAGACUAGGUCCAGGGCCCCAGCCUCCCAGUCAACAGCCGCAAGAGGCGAGGACGGGCAUAGGCAGCCUGCCCGGAGGGCCUGUCAAGAGCAGGGGUCACUGUACUGACUGGGGAACACGACAGAGUACUGAGUCCCCUCCCCACCUCUCCCUCCUCCCCCU
This 1814-nucleotide long non-coding RNA is filed under the name Equus caballus (horse). RNAcentral describes it as "lncRNA (ENSECAG00000048028.1)". The record is from RNAcentral. Lineage: Eukaryota; Metazoa; Chordata; Mammalia; Perissodactyla; Equidae.